UUGUUACAUAUUAGUUAAGAUGCCUUUUGGGCUUAAUAGGGAAUCUGGUGAAAGUCCAGAACUGUCCCCGCAACUGUAAGUGUGGACGAAAUAGACAAACCACUGUUUCGUAUAUUAAUAGAUAUACGAAAACGGGAAGGAUCUAAAGUAGGAAGAUACACAAGUCAGGAGACCUGUCUUAACUUGUAAAGUUUC
Molecule: non-coding RNA, 195 nt
Filed under: Bacillus sp. (in: firmicutes)
Lineage: Bacteria; Bacillati; Bacillota; Bacilli; Caryophanales; Bacillaceae
Also listed under: 1 other name
Source: RNAcentral